This 519-nucleotide long non-coding RNA is filed under the name Homo sapiens (human). Its description in RNAcentral is "long independently transcribed non-coding RNA 2691, transcript variant 3 (LINC02691)". The record is from RNAcentral. Lineage: Eukaryota; Metazoa; Chordata; Mammalia; Primates; Hominidae.
UUUCCUCUUCCUGUCUGUCAUGUCCAGCCUGUGAAGAGCACGCUGGCUGAGCUGGCGAGAGGGGUGGGGGCGUCCUGGGGCUGCUUCUGCUCUGAUGAAGGCACCCACUGUCACUGUCCCGGCCCUCGCUGAGUGUUCCCGGACCCGUGGGCCCGCGUCUGUGCCAGGCCUUGGGGAGCUCCAGCCUCGGAGCCUCUUCCCGUUCUCAGACCUCAGUGCGAGGAGGAAAUCGGCUCCUUGAGUUUUUGCCUCCGGUGUUGUUUGGAAGGACGUGUCUGGAGCUGCUGCAGUAAAGCUGAAGAAGUGGCCGCGUGCAGUCCUAAGCUCCUGUGGCCUCUCGGUUGCCAGCAAGUCCUUUCCUUGGCUGUGGGCCAGUGACUGUUUGCGAGACCGCAGAACGGCGAGCUACAUGUGAUCAGCCGUUGGAGGAGCCUCUUCUCCCCGGCUCGCCAGCCCCACACGCCCACCCUGUCUCAGAGAGACUUAUUUUUCCUUCUUCAAUGUCGUCAGGCUUUGCCU